GACAUUGUGAAAUUGUUAUUGUAUGUGCUAUAAGAGUGUGAUCAUUUAUCUAAACUGCUCAGUCUCGAUGAAACAGGCAUGAUCUGACAAGGAAUGGUUGCCUCUGUACAUACUUGGGGAGAAUACAUACGCUUACCUAGAGGUUUUCUGAUGUUGUGGCGUGCUGGGGCUGGAGUAUGAUCCUCCUGGUCUGAGUCUGCAAGCCAGCAGGAGACAUUCACAGAGGGUGCAUAUCACACAUUCCAUAACACGUCUAAAGUGUCAUUGAUAACAAAUAUAUCGGGUGUCCUGUGAUUUACAAAGAGAAUUUGAUGGUGAAGAUGGACUGGAGCAAUAAAAUCAAUACAGGAAAACAACACAUAAAGCCAUUAUUCAUAAUUUUACCAAUUAGCUGUUUUCUGCGAUGUCAGAGAUAUUUAAAAAUGUAUAAACCUCCCAUUGGUGACUGGCAAUAAUUAAUAAUUGCUGGCCUAAUUAUGAUAUCAAGUCUCAGCAUCCAACAUUAUUGCAUGACAUAAAGCUAUAUCCACAGAAAUGAGUUCUAAACACAAACUGAACAAACUUAAGGGAAUGCAACAAGCUGUUGCCACAAAUAGACGAGACAUUAGAUUAUUUGAUCAGCUAGGUACUGUAUAAACGUGAACUGAUUCAAGUCCAUUUCAUGACAAGAAAAUGGGCUUGAAAAUUAAAAUGGAUUGAACUAAUUGCCUCGAUUAGACUUUGGCCGUUCUAUUAAAUUCUACAUAUAUUCACACCCAAGAAUUGGUGCCGAUCUGUAGCAUCAGCAAUGUGUUUUGAGAUUUUCA
Athalia rosae (coleseed sawfly) is the source of this 806-nucleotide long non-coding RNA. RefSeq lists it as uncharacterized. The record is from RefSeq and is a predicted model, not a curated record. NCBI's taxonomy places the organism in Eukaryota, Metazoa, Arthropoda, Insecta, Hymenoptera, Athaliidae. The transcript has 3 exons.